UAGGGAAUCUUCCGCAAUGGGCGAAAGCCUGACGGAGCAACGCCGCGUGAGUGAUGAAGGUCUUCGGAUCGUAAAACUCUGUUAUUAGGGAAGAACAAAUGUGUAAGUAACUAUGCACGUCUUGACGGUACCUAAUCAGAAAGCCACGUCUAACUACGUGCCAGCAGCCGCGGUAAUACGUAGGUGGCAAGCGUUAUCCGGAAUUAUUGGGCGUAAAGCGCGCGUAGGCGGUUUUUUAAGGCUGAUGUGAAAGCCCACGGCUCAACCGUGGAGGGUCAUUGGAAACUGGAAAACUUGAGUGCAGAAGAGGAAAGUGGAAUUCCAUGUGUAGCGGUGAAAUGCGCAGAGAUAUGGAGGAACACCAGUGGCGAAGGCGACUUUCUGGUCUGUAACUGACGCUGAUGUGCGAAAGCGUGGGGAUCAAACAGG
Molecule: ribosomal RNA, 429 nt
Filed under: Actinomycetes bacterium
Lineage: Bacteria; Bacillati; Actinomycetota; Actinomycetes
Description: Actinobacteria bacterium partial 16S ribosomal RNA
Rfam family: Bacterial small subunit ribosomal RNA
Source: RNAcentral